GUUUCAGCAGCCGCGGUAAGACGAGGUCCACAAACGUUAUUCGGAAUUACUGGGCUUAAAGCGUGCGUAGGCGGCCUAGCAAGUCAGGUGUGAAAGCCCUCGGCUCAACCGAGGAAUUGCGCCCGAAACUGCUGGGCUUGAGUGAGACAGAGGUGAGCGGAACUGAUGGUGGAGCGGUGAAAUGCGUUGAUAUCAUCAGGAACACCGGUGGCGAAGGCGGCUCACUGGGUCUCAACUGACGCUGAGGUACGAAAGCCAGGGUAGCGAACGGGAUUAGAAACCCCCGUAGUCC
This 292-nucleotide ribosomal RNA is filed under the name uncultured bacterium. RNAcentral describes it as "partial 16S ribosomal RNA". It matches the Rfam family "Bacterial small subunit ribosomal RNA", at positions 505 to 796 of the family's 1533-position model. The record is from RNAcentral.